UACGUAGGGGGCAAGCGUUGUCCGGAAUCAUUGGGCGUAAAGAGCGUGUAGGCGGCCCGAUAAGUCCGCCGUGAAAGUCCAGGGCUCAACCCUGGAAGUGCGCUAGAAACUGCGAGGCUCGAGUGCCGGAGGGGAGAGUGGAAUUCCUGGUGUAGCGGUGAAAUGCGUAGAUAUCAGGAGGAAUACCGGUGGCGAAAGCGACUCUCUGGACGGCAACUGACGCUGAGGCACGAAAGCGUGGGGAGCAAACAGG
RNAcentral lists this ribosomal RNA (253 nucleotides) under uncultured bacterium. RNAcentral's name for it is "partial 16S ribosomal RNA". It matches the Rfam family "Bacterial small subunit ribosomal RNA", at positions 524 to 776 of the family's 1533-position model. The record is from RNAcentral.